GCUUAUGGCCAUACCAGCCUGAAUACGCCUGAUCUCGUCUGAUCUCGGAAGCUACGCAGGGUCGGGCCUGGUUAGUACUUGGAUGGAGACCGCCUGGAAUACCGGUGCUGUAAGCG
Molecule: ribosomal RNA, 116 nt
Filed under: Oncorhynchus mykiss (rainbow trout)
Lineage: Eukaryota; Metazoa; Chordata; Actinopteri; Salmoniformes; Salmonidae
Source: RNAcentral